GACGAACGCUGGCGGCGUGCUUAACACAUGCAAGUCGAACGAUGAUGCUGAGCUUGCUUGGCGGAUUAGUGGCGAACGGGUGAGUAACACGUGAGUAACCUGCCUUUGACUCUGGGAUAAGCGUUGGAAACGACGUCUAAUACCGGAUACGACCUUCCGCCGCAUGGUGUGGGGGUGGAAAGAUUUUUUGGUUGGAGAUGGACUCGCGGCCUAUCAGGUUGUUGGUGGGGUAAUGGCUCACCAAGCCUACGACGGGUAGCCGGCCUGAGAGGGUGACCGGCCACACUGGGACUGAGACACGGCCCAGACUCCUACGGGAGGCAGCAGUGGGGAAUAUUGCACAAUGGGCGAAAGCCUGAUGCAGCAACGCCGCGUGAGGGAUGACGGCCUUCGGGUUGUAAACCUCUUUUAGUAAGGAAGAAGAACUUCGGUUUGACGGUACUUGCAGAAAAAGCACCGGCUAACUACGUGCCAGCCGCCGCUGUAAAAC
This 490-nucleotide ribosomal RNA is filed under the name uncultured bacterium. RNAcentral describes it as "bacterial SSU rRNA". It matches the Rfam family "Bacterial small subunit ribosomal RNA", at positions 28 to 526 of the family's 1533-position model. The record is from RNAcentral.